GCUUGUCUCAAAGAUUAAGCCAUGCAUGUCUAAGUGUAAAUAAGUCUAUACUGUGAAACUGCGAAUGGCUCAUUAAAUCAGUUAUCGUUUAUUUGAUGAUCUCUUACUACUUGGAUAACCGUAGUAAUUCUAGAGCUAAUACAUGCACAAAAUCCCGACUUACGAAGGGUUGUAUUUAUUAGAUAAAGAACCAAUCCAUGCUUGCAUGGUUUUGUGGUGAUUCAUAAUAACUGAUCGAAUCGCAUGCCUUCGGGCGGCGAUGUAUCAUUCAAGUUUCUGACCUAUCAGCUUCCGACGGUAGGGUAUUGGCCUACCGUGGCAAUGACGGGUAACGGGGAAUUAGGGUUCGAUUCCGGAGAGGGAGCCUGAGAAACGGCUACCACAUCUAAGGAAGGCAG
RNAcentral lists this ribosomal RNA (398 nucleotides) under uncultured Colpodella. RNAcentral describes it as "partial small subunit ribosomal RNA". It matches the Rfam family "Eukaryotic small subunit ribosomal RNA", at positions 30 to 428 of the family's 1831-position model. Lineage: Eukaryota; Colpodellaceae. The record is from RNAcentral.